Molecule: ribosomal RNA, 497 nt
Filed under: uncultured bacterium
Lineage: Bacteria
Description: partial 16S ribosomal RNA
Rfam family: Bacterial small subunit ribosomal RNA
Source: RNAcentral
GAUGAACGCUGGCGGCGUGCCUAAUACAUGCAAGUCGAGCGAACGGACGCGAAGCUUGCUUCUUUGACGUUAGCGGCGGACGGGUGAGUAACACGUGGAUAACCUACCUAUAAUUCUGGUAUAACUUCGGGAAACCGGCGCUUAUACCGUAUGAUCUUUUGCACCGCAUGGUUCAAAAGUGAAAUACGGUCUUGCUGUCACUUCUCGCUGGAUCCGCGCUGCAUUAGCUAGUUGGUAAGGUAACGGCUUACCAAGGCAACGAUGCAUAGCCGACCUGAGAGGGUGAUCGGCCACACUGGAGCUGAGACACGGUCAUGACUCCUACGGGAGGCAGCAGUAGGGAAUCUUCCGCAGUAGGCGAAAGCCUGACGGAACAGCGCCACGUGAGAGAUGACAGUCUUCGGAUCGUAAAGCUCUGUUAUUAGGGAAAAACAUAUGUGUAAGUAGAUGUGCACAGCUUGACGGUAACUAAUCAGAAAGCCACGGCUAACUACGUG